UCAAGAAAGCAAGGGCACAAGGUGGAUGCCUUGGCACAUGAAGGCGAGAAAGGACGUAAGUGAACGAAAACUAGGGUAAGCUCACAAAAAGCAUUGACCCCUAGGUCUCCGAAUGGGGCAACCCGGUUGUGGAAGACACAAUCAUUACUAAGUGAAUACAUAGCUUAGUAAGGCGACACCCUGCGAACUGAAACAUCUAAGUAGCAGGAGGAAAAGAAAGAAACAUCGAUUUUCUAAGUAGCGGCGAGCGAAAGGAAAAGAGCCUAACUCAAUAGCGAUUUACUAAUGUUAGUCAAAUUAUCUGAAAAGAUAAACCAAAGAAAGUGAAAGUCUUGUAGACGAAAACAUUAAUAAACGAGAGGGAAAGUAUCACCGGGCACGAGUAACCCGGUGUGAAGAUAGGGGGCCCAUCCCCUAAGGCUAAAUACUAACAUGUGACCGAUAGUGAACAAGUACCGUGAGGGAAAGGUGAAAAGAACCCCGAAAGGGGAGUGAAAUAGAACCUGAAACCUAGUGCCUACAAGCAGACAGAGCGUGAGCGAACGUGAUGUCGUACCUUUUGUAGAAUGGGCCAGCGAGUUAUUCUAAAUUGCAAGGUUAAUGAUUUAAGAUCAGAAGCCGUAGCGAAAGCGAGUCUUAAUAGGGCGAAAGUAAGUUAGAAUAGACCCGAAACCGGGUGAUCUAUCCAUGGUCAGAGUGAAGUUGAAGUAAAAUUCAAUGGAGGCUCGAACCGGGUGCGGUUUAAAACGCAUCGGAUGAACUGUGGAUAGGGGCGAAAAACCAAACGAACCCGGAGAUAGCUGGUUCUCCUCGAAAUAGCUUUAGGGCUAGCCUCUGACCUAAGAUUUUAGGAGGUAGAGCACUGAAUGGUCUAGGGCGGAUUACCGUACCAAAACCUAUCAAACUCCGAAUGCCAAAAAAUCAAGUCAGGGAGUCAGACUUAGGGGGAUAAGCUUCUAAGUCGAAAGGGAAACAGCCCAGACCGACAGCUAAGGUCCCAAAAUUUGAAUUAAGUGGAAAAGGAUGUGAAUCUACUAAGACAACCAGGACGUUGGCUUAGAAGCAGCCAUGCAUUUAAAGAAUGCGUAAUAGCUCACUGGUCAAGUGGGUUUGCGCCGAAAAUGAACGGGGCUCAAAUUCAAUACCGAAGCUUCGGAUUAAUAGAGGGAUUAAGUUUACAAAUGAGACUAGGAAAUAUUUAACAAAAACAGAAGAGAUUAAAAAGAAAAACAAAUUUCAGACGCAGACAUAAAAGAUAGGAUAUUAAAAAGAAAUAUUCAAAAAACACAAGUCUAAAGUCAAAAGUGAGUAACAUAAGAAAUUAUGAACUAACAAUCACUGGUUAGAGUUAAAAACUAGGACUCAUAGCUAAACUUAAUACCUCUAUUAGUGGUAGAGGAGCAUUGUAUUAGAGACGAAGCCAAGGCGAAAGCAAAAGUGGAUCUAAUACAAGAGAGAAUGCUGGCAUGAGUAGCGAGAAGGGAUGUGAGAAUCAUCCCCGUCGAAACCCUAAGGACUCCUGAGCAAGGCUCGUCCCCUCAGGGAAAGUCGGGACCUAAGCCAAGGCCGAAAGGCGUAGGCGAUGGAUAACAGGUUUAUAUUCCUGUACCGCUUGAAGUCGUUAAGAGAGAAGUGAUGACGCAAAAGGAUAAGCAAAGCCAUCAGAUGGAAAAGAUGGUCUAAAGCCGUAGGAAGAAAAGUAGGCAAAUCCGCUUUUCACAAAUUCUAAAAGCCGAUAGGUAUCGAAAACAUAAGUAGAGAAGUUGCCGAUUCCAGGUUGCCAAGAAAAGUCACUAUCCAGACCAAAGCGCCCGUACCAAAACCGACACAGGUAGGGAGGUAGAGAAUACCAAGACGCGCGGAAGAACCUUUGUUAAGGAACUCGGCAAAAUGUCCCCGUAACUUCGGGAGAAGGGGAGCCUGAGCAAUCAGGCCACAGAAACCAGGCCCAAGCGACUGUUUACCAAAAACACAAGUUUCUGCAAAAUCGCAAGAUGAAAUAUAGGAGCUGACACCUGCCCGGUGCUGGAAGGUUAAGGGGAAGGCUUAGAGCAAUCGAAGGCUAGAACUUAAGCCCCAGUAAACGGCGGCCGUAACUAUAACGGUCCUAAGGUAGCGAAAUUCCUUGUCGGGUAAGUUCCGACCCGCACGAAAGGUGUAAC
This 2162-nucleotide ribosomal RNA is filed under the name human gut metagenome. RNAcentral's name for it is "bacterial LSU rRNA". It matches the Rfam family "Bacterial large subunit ribosomal RNA", at positions 3 to 2005 of the family's 2925-position model. The record is from RNAcentral.